GGUAUAGGGAGUAGGGUCAUGGGGUAGGGUUGAAGAGCAGUCAGGGAGUAUAUUAGAGGUAUAGGGAGUAGGGUCAUGGGGUAGGGUUGAAGAGCAGUCAGGGAGUAUAUUAGAGGUAUAGGGAGUAGGGUCAUGGGGUAGGGUUGAAGAGCAGUCAGGGAGUAUAUUAGAGGUAUAGGGAGUAGGGUCAUGGGGUAGGGUUGAAGAGCAGUCAGGGAGUAUAUUAGAGGUAUAGGGAGUAGGGUUGAAGAGAACAGUCAAGGAGUAUAUUAGAGGUAUAGGGAGUAGGGUCAUGGGGUAGGGUUGAAGAGCAGUCAGGGAGUAUAUUGGAGGUAUGGGGAGUAGGGUCAUGGGGUAGGGUUGAAGAGCAGUCAGGGAGUAUAUUAGAGGUAUGGGGAGUAGGGUCAUGGGGUAGGGUUGAAGAGCAGUCAGGGAGUAUAUUAGAGGUAUGGGGAGUAGGGUCAUGGGGUAGGGCUGAAGAGCACAGUUAGGGAGUAUAUUAGAUGUAUAGGGAGUAGGGUCAUGGGGUAGGGUUGAAGAGCACAGCCAGGGAGUAUAUUAGAGGUAUAGGGAGUAGGGUCAUGGGGUAGAGUUGAAGAGCAGUCAGGGAGUAUAUUAGAGGUAUGGGGAGUAGGGUCAUGGGGUAGGGUUGAAGAGCAGUCAGGGAGUAUAUUAGAGGUAUGGGGAGUAGGGUCAUGGGGUAGGGUUGAAGAGCAGUCAGGAGUAUAUUAGAGGUAUGGGGAGUAGGGUCAUGGGGUAGGGUUGAAGAGCACAGCCAGGGAGUAUAUUAGAGGUAUGGGGAGUAGGGUCAUGGGGUAGGGUUGAAGAGCAGUCAGGGAGUAUAUUAGAGGUAUGGGGAGUAGGGUCAUGGGGUAGGGUUGAAGAGCAGUCAGGGAGUAUAUUAGAGGUAUAGGGAGUAGAGUCAUGGGGUAGGGUUGAAGAGCAGUCAGGGAGUAUAUUAGAGGUAUAGGGAGUAGGGUCAUGGGGUAGCGUUGAAGAGCAGUCAGGGAGUAUAUUAGAGGUAUAGGGAGUAGGGUCAUGGGGUAGGGUUGAAGAGCAGUCAGGGAGUAUAUUAGAGGUAUAGGGAGUAGGGUCAUGGGGUAGGGUUGAAGAGCAGUCAGGGAGUAUAUUAGAGGUAUAGGGAGUAGGGUCAUGGGGUAGGGUUGAAGAGCAGUCAGGGAGUAUAUUAGAGGUAUAGGGAGUAGGGUUGAAGAGAACAGUCAGGGAGUAUAUUAGAGGUAUAGGGAGUAGGGUCAUGGGGUAGGGUUGAAGAGCAGUCAGGGAGUAUAUUAGAGGUAUGGGGAGUAGGGUCAUGGGGUAGGGUUGAAGAGCAGUCAGGGAGUAUAUUAGAGGUAUGGGGAGUAGGGUCAUGGGGUAGGGCUGAAGAGCACAGUUAGGGAGUAUAUUAGAUGUAUAGGGAGUAGGGUCAUGGGGUAGGGUUGAAGAGCACAGCCAGGGAGUAUAUUAGAGGUAUAGGGAGUAGGGUCAUGGGGUAGGGUUGAAGAGCAGUCAGGGAGUAUAUUAGAGGUAUAGGGAGUAGGGUCAUGGGGUAGGGCUGAAAAGCAGUCAGGGAGUAUAUUAGAGGUAUAGGGAGUAAGGUCAUGGGGUGGGGUUGAAGAGCAGUCAGGGAGUAUAUUAGAGGUAUAGGGAGUAGGGUCAUGGGGUAGGGUUGAAGAGCAGUCAGGGAGUAUAUUAGAGGUAUAGGGAGUAGGGUCAUGGGGUAGGGUUGAAGAGCAGUCAGGGAGUAUAUUAGAGGUAUGGGGAGUAGGGUCAUGGGGUAGGGUUGAAGAGCAGUCAGGGAGUAUAUUAGAGGUAUAGGGAGUAGAGUCAUGGGGUAGGGUUGAAGAGCAGUCAGGGAGUAUAUUAGAGGUAUAGGGAGUAGGGUCAUGGGGUAGGGUUGAAGAGCAGUCAGGGAGUAUAUUAGAGGUAUAGGGAGUAGGGUCAUGGGGUAGGGUUGAAGAGCAGUCAGGGAGUAUAUUAGAGGUAUAGGGAGUAGGGUCAUGGGGUAGGGUUGAAGAGCAGUCAGGGAGUAUAUUAGAGGUAUAGGGAGUAGGGUUGAAGAGAACAGUCAGGGAGUAUAUUAGAGGUAUAGGGAGUAGGGUCAUGGGGUAGGGUUGAAGAGUAGUCAGGGAGUAUAUUAGAGGUAUAGGGAGUAGGGUCAUGGGGUAGGGUUGAAGAGUAGUCAGGGAGUAUAUUAGAGGUAUAGGGAGUAGGGUCAUGGGGUAGGGCUGAAGAGCACAGUCGGUGGGAGUAUAUUAGAGGUAUGGGGAGUAGGGUCAUGGGGUAGGGUUGAAGAGCAGUCAGGGAGUAUAUUAGAGGUAUAGGGAGUAGGGCCAUGGGGUAGGGAUGAAGAGCAGUCAGGGAGUAUAUUAGAGGUAUAGGGAGUAGGGCCAUGGGGUAGGGAUGAAGAGCAGUCAGGGAGUAUAUUAGAGGUAUAGGGAGUAGGGUCAUGGGGUAGGGUUGAAGAGCAGUCAGGGAGUAUAUUAGAGGUAUAGGGAGUAGGGUCAUGGGGUAGGGUUGAAGAGCAGUCAGGGAGUAUAUUAGAGGUAUAGGGAGUAGGGUCAUGGGGUAGGGAUGAAGAGCAGUCAGGGAGUAUAUUAGAGGUAUAGGGAGUAGGGUCAUGGGGUAGGGUUGAAGAGCAGUCAGGGAGUAUAUUAGAGGUAUAGGGAGUAGGGUCAUGGGGUAGGGUUGAAGAGCAGUCAGGGAGUAUAUUAGAGGUAUGGGGAGUAGGGUCAUGGGGUAGGGUUGAAGAGCAGUCAGGGAGUAUAUUAGAGGUAUAGGGAGUAGAGUCAUGGGGUAGGGUUGAAGAGCAGUCAGGGAGUAUAUUAGAGGUAUAGGGAGUAGGGUCAUGGGGUAGGGUUGAAGAGCAGUCAGGGAGUAUAUUAGAGGUAUAGGGAGUAGGGUCAUGGGGUAGGGUUGAAGAGCAGUCAGGGAGUAUAUUAGAGGUAUAGGGAGUAGGGUCAUGGGGUAGGGUUGAAGAGCAGUCAGGGAGUAUAUUAGAGGUAUAGGGAGUAGGGUUGAAGAGAACAGUCAGGGAGUAUAUUAGAGGUAUAGGGAGUAGGGUCAUGGGGUAGGGUUGAAGAGCAGUCAGGGAGUAUAUUAGAGGUAUGGGGAGUAGGGUCAUGGGGUAGGGUUGAAGAACAGUCAGGGAGUAUAUUAGAGGUAUGGGGAGUAGGGUCAUGGGGUAGGGCUGAAGAGCACAGUUAGGGAGUAUAUUAGAGGUAUAGGGAGUAGGGUCAUGGGGUAGGGUUGAAGAGCAGUCAGGGAGUAUAUUAGAGGUAUAGGGAGUAGGGUCAUGGGGUAGGGCUGAAAAGCAGUCAGGGAGUAUAUUAGAGGUAUAGGGAGUAAGGUCAUGGGGUGGGGUUGAAGAGCAGUCAGGGAGUAUAUUAGAGGUAUAGGGAGUAGGGUCAUGGGGUAGGGUUGAAGAGCAGUCAGGGAGUAUAUUAGAGGUAUAGGGAGUAGGGUCAUGGGGUAGGGUUGAAGAGUAGUCAGGGAGUAUAUUAGAGGUAUAGGGAGUAGGGUCAUGGGGUAGGGUUGAAGAGCAGUCAGGGAGUAUAUUAGAGGUAUAGGGAGUAGGGUCAUGGGGUAGGGUUGAAGAGCAGUCAGGGAGUAUAUUAGAGGUAUAGGGAGUAGGGUCAUGGGGUAGGGUUGAAGAGCAGUCAGGGAGUAUAUUAGAGGUAUAGGGAGUAGGGUCAUGGGGUAGGGUUGAAGAGCAGUCAGGGAGUAUAUUAGAGGUAUAGGGAGUAGGGUUGAAGAGAACAGUCAGGGAGUAUAUUAGAGGUAUAGGGAGUAGGGUCAUGGGGUAGGGUUGAAGAGUAGUCAGGGAGUAUAUUAGAGGUAUAGGGAGUAGGGUCAUGGGGUAGGGUUGAAGAGUAGUCAGGGAGUAUAUUAGAGGUAUGGGGAGUAGGGUCAUGGGGUAGGGAUGAAGAGCAGUCAGGGAGUAUAUUAGAGGUAUAGGGAGUAGGGUCAUGGGGUAGGGUUGAAGAGUAGUCAGGGAGUAUAUUAGAGGUAUAGGGAGUAGGGUCAUGGGGUAGGGCUGAAGAGCACAGUCGGUGGGAGUAUAUUAGAGGUAUGGGGAGUAGGGUCAUGGGGUAGGGUUGAAGAGCAGUCAGGGAGUAUAUUAGAGGUAUAGGGAGUAGGGCCAUGGGGUAGGGAUGAAGAGCAGUCAGGGAGUAUAUUAGAGGUAUAGGGAGUAGGGCCAUGGGGUAGGGAUGAAGAGCAGUCAGGGAGUAUAUUAGAGGUAUAGGGAGUAGGGUCAUGGGGUAGGGUUGAAGAGCAGUCAGGGAGUAUAUUAGAGGCAUAGGGAGUAGGGUCAUGGGGUAGGGUUGAAGAGCAGUCAGGGAGUAUAUUAGAGGUAUAGGGAGUAGGGCCAUGGGGUAGGGUUGAAGAGCACAGUCAGGGAGUAUAUUAGAGGUAUGGGGAGUAGGGUCAUGGGGUAGGGAUGAAGAGCAGUCAGGGAGUAUAUUAGAGGUAUAGGGAGUAGGGUCAUGGGGUAGGGUUGAAGAGCAGUCAGGGAGUAUAUUAGAGGAGUAGGGAGUAGGGUCAUGGGGUAGGAUUGAAGAGCAGUCAGGGAGUAUAUUAGAGGUAUAGGGAGUAGGGUCAUGGGGUAGGGUUGAAGAGCAGUCAGGGAGUAUAUUAGUCAGGGCUUCCCUCAACCCCCACCCCUCCUCCCAUGUCAAAGAGGCAUGUAAUACCUACUCACAGACACACACGCUUUAGCCCUGGCAUAGUAGCACUGUCUCCAACCAACAGGCCUGGUAGUAACCUAGUGUUGUGACUGCAGACUGCAGUAACAGUUUGUGAAGGGAUGACUGCUGUAUGACUAGGACACCUCAGUACAUGAUGAACCACUCUCUGGGUGGUGGAAGGUCAGUAUGCACUUACUGAGUACAUGCCUUAUGCUAGCAUCAAAUAGGCUUCACAAAAAUAACAUAGUCGCUGUCGUAUAACAUUUAUUUUGAUUGCAGACUUUCUGCAUUUAUCCCAUCAAGUAGCCUGAUUUCAGAUGUGUCAAUGUAAACAGCUCUUCUUGCAAAGCAUGUUGACAUUUUAAAUCAAACUAUUUGGGCUAUAUUAAUCCAACUAUCCACAAUAAUCAUACACCGAGUAUACCAAACAUUACGAACACCUUCCUAAUAUUGAAUUGCACCCCCCCUUGCCCUUACAACAGCCUAAAUUUGUCAGGGCAUAGACUCUACAGGGUGUUGAAAACGUUCCACAGGGAAUCUCGCCCAUGUUGACUUCAAUGCUUCCCACAGUUAUGUCAAGUUAGCUGGAGGUCCAUUGGGUGGUUCCUGAUACACACAGGAAACGGUUGAUUGUGAAAAACCCAGAAGCAUUGCAAUUCUUGACAAAAACCAUACCCUGUUCAAAGGCACUUAAAUAUUUGUCUUGCCCAUUCACCCUCUGAAUGGCUCACAUACACAAUCUAUGUAUCAAUUGUUUCGAUGCUUAACAAUCCUUCUUUAACCGGUCUCCUCCCCUUCAUCUACACUGAUUGAAGUAGAUUUAACAAGUGAAAUCAAUAAGGGACCUUAGCUUUCACCUGGUCAGUCUAUUUCAUGGAAAGAGCAGCUGUUCUUAAUGUUUUGUAUACUCAGUGUAUUAUUGCGUGCAUGUAUCCGUACUCACUGUUUGCUUUCUGUACAUUUAGAACAGGUUAAGAAGGAGCAAUGGGACUGAGUGUAGACUACUGCAGAAUACUGUACAUUAUUCAAGCUCCACUCAGGCUCUCAUACAGGUUUCCUAUUCAAGAUUUGACACAAAAGUAGAUACGAGCUAUAAUAGGACACUAAAUAUACCUCAAGCACAUGGAGAAGUGCCAAGAGAAAAAUUACCUCACUGUA
Molecule: long non-coding RNA, 5846 nt
Organism: Oncorhynchus keta (chum salmon)
Lineage: Eukaryota; Metazoa; Chordata; Actinopteri; Salmoniformes; Salmonidae
Exons: 11
Source: RefSeq, a predicted model, not a curated record